UACGUAGGGGGCAAGCGUUGUCCGGAAUCAUUGGGCGUAAAGAGCGUGUAGGCGGCCAGAUAAGUCCGCUGUGAAAUCUCGAGGCUCAACUUCGAGCUGUCGGUGGAAACUGUCUGGCUAGAGUCCGGAAGAGGAGAAUGGAAUUCCUGGUGUAGCGGUGAAAUGCGCAGAUAUCAGGAAGAACACCCGUGGCGAAGGCGGUUCUCUGGGACGGUACUGACGCUGAGACACGAAAGCGUGGGGAGCAAACAGG
This 253-nucleotide ribosomal RNA is filed under the name uncultured bacterium. RNAcentral's name for it is "partial 16S ribosomal RNA". It matches the Rfam family "Bacterial small subunit ribosomal RNA", at positions 524 to 776 of the family's 1533-position model. The record is from RNAcentral.